GAGUGUUACAGCUCUUUUAGAGUUUGUCUAGGAAGAUUUCUGGCUUUAGCCAGAAGACUCUU
This 62-nucleotide small nuclear RNA is filed under the name Dasypus novemcinctus (nine-banded armadillo). Its description in RNAcentral is "U7 small nuclear RNA (ENSDNOG00000026282.1)". It matches the Rfam family "U7 small nuclear RNA". From Rfam's summary of the family: Animal histone pre-mRNAs are spliced by a different mechanism than nuclear pre-mRNAs and self-splicing introns. The record is from RNAcentral. Lineage: Eukaryota; Metazoa; Chordata; Mammalia; Cingulata; Dasypodidae.